Molecule: non-coding RNA, 58 nt
Filed under: Alexandrium minutum
Lineage: Eukaryota; Dinophyceae; Gonyaulacales; Pyrocystaceae
Source: RNAcentral
UCAAGGGCUCAAGGCGUCGUGCGCAUUUGACCCUCCUUGGAACUCCGACUCAGUGCUU